CCUUGGAUUAGUUAUUCUAUAAUUUUUCUAAAUCAAAUUUAAGAAAGCUGACUAGAAAAUGUACACAAAAAGCAUACAAUUGUCAGUAAUUGCAUUUUUGAUACAUCUUAUUGUUAAAUCGUCGUUAAGGAAUUCAAAACGGAUUUCAGAUCAUCGAUAGUCUCCGUUAAAUUUAACCACAACUUUUCCUGGCUCGGUCUGAUAUAAAGCAUGAC
Molecule: long non-coding RNA, 215 nt
Filed under: Mytilus galloprovincialis (Mediterranean mussel)
Lineage: Eukaryota; Metazoa; Mollusca; Bivalvia; Mytilida; Mytilidae
Source: RNAcentral